RNAcentral lists this transfer RNA (65 nucleotides) under Glycera cf. tridactyla FS20. Its description in RNAcentral is "tRNA-His". The record is from RNAcentral. Lineage: Eukaryota; Metazoa; Annelida; Polychaeta; Phyllodocida; Glyceridae.
GUAAAAAUAAUUUAAAAAAAAAUGUUGAAUUGUGAUUUCAAAUAUGUACAACAGUACUUUUUACC